GAAAGGAAAGGAAAGGAAAGGAAAGGGCAAAGGGAAAGGAAUUCAGCUGAUGUCUAGGGCAGGGAUACUUUUUUAUAGGUAAGUUUCCCUGCCCUGAAGACUCAUUUCUCUCUUUCUAUGUAAAUUAGGUCUCAUACACAGUCUGUUCUGUCAAGAGUCUUGAGUGGUCUUGAUUCUCCCUACAGCCCAUCCCCACUUCUUGGCCUCAUUCCCGUGCUUGCACUAUGGUAUGUUGUGUUUAUCUCCAAGAACUUCAGCAAGGAUGUUUGUCCAACAAAAGUGGUGCCCUACCUCCUCAUGGCCCCUUUCUCCUGUCACAACUUGUUCUUCCUCACACUAUGUUAAUACCAACAGUCUUUUGUUAUUACCAAGAAUUGUCUGAUGGGAUUCCUGUCUGAUUCACUGGCUCUACAGCCAUGCAGGUAUCAGUGUUUGAGACACACAUUGGACCCUUAUCUGGAGAUGCUCUUUUAAAGCAGGAAUGUGCUUUCCAGCCUCUGGGUCCUCUGAGUGGAGAAGGUAAAGAGCUGGCAUGACGUAUCUCCAGCUGUUCCUAAGCUCUUUCAAUUUCUUCCUGGGAAAAGGGAGGCACAAACUGUGUGUAGAGAUGGUCUUCUAAAGCCAGAGAUUGCAUGGAGUCAUCCCAGGGGAUCUGCACUGGUUCCUUCCUGACACUGCACAUCUUUGCCUCACCCUCAAGUGAGAGUUGUUUUCUAAUUGUGUUACUGGCUGUGUUUUCCACUGUGUUUCUCCACAAGUCCAGAGGAGGCUACCAGAAUGAUUGGAGAGACAAAGCACCUCUUCUACGAGGGAAUUGGCUGUUCAGCCUGGAAAAGAAAUGGCUUAGAGGUGACCUGUUUGCGGCUUCCAGUACCUGAAGGAAACCCACUAGAAAGACAGAGAGCGACUUUUUACAAGGGCAUGUGAUGAAAAGACAAGGGGGAAUGGAUCCAAACUGAGCAUAGUUUUAGAUUAGGUAUUAGGAAAAAAUUCUUUACUGUGAGGGUGAUAAGGCACUGGAGCAGGUUGUCCAGAGAAGUGAAUGCUGCAUCCCUGGAAAUGUUCAAGGCCAGGCUGGAUGGUGCUCUCAGCAACCUGGUCUAGUAGGUGUCCCUGCCUAUGGCAGGGAAUUAGAACUAGGGGGUCUUUAAGGUUCCUUCCAACCCAAGUCAUUCUACGAUUCUAUAAGAAUUCAGCAAAUAGAUCUGUGUUCAAAAUGCAGUGGAUUAAUAUUUCUUCACCGCAAGAGCUCACUGACUGGAAGAUUGUACCAACACAUCUGUGGCUCCCGAAGAUAAGAUCCGCAUUUUACAAGUUUAUACUCUGAUAAAUAGUAAAGCAGAAGUCAGUAUCUGCAUCGGAAGUAUUGGCAUUAUUUGCCAAAGACUUCUUUUUGCCUCCUGUUAACAAUCUCAUCUAAAGCUUAUUGUAACUCAGGUUUUGCAGCCUAUCCUCUCCAAGGCAGAUCAAGAUAAGAUCACUGGAGUCCUUCAUCAGUUCAAGAGGGCCUCCUCCCAGCUAUAGGUUACCAGGAGUCUGUAUGGGGCUGACUAAAUUGUAGCUGGUUGCCUGAAGGGAAUGUGCUGAGCUAGCUUGCUCAGCAACAGAGUUUCUAGAGGAAGGGAAAAGCAGGUCCAGUCUGGAGAGGGAUAAGUUCAACGCUGGGGAAAGUAGAGUUAUAUCUCUAGGGGAAACAGGAGUAGAAGUUGGGGAUCUUACCUAGCUUCAGUGUACCUCCCUGCACCUUCAAUGCUUUUAAAAAUACCAAAAAAUUGAGCUUCCUUUUCACAAUUUAGUUUACAUCAUCUAAGGGCUAUACUAUGUCGAUUCUAAUUAAAUCAGUGUGUACUGCAAAUGAGAGUCUUUCUCCCUAGUCUGAGUUGGAAGCAUAUCUAAAGAUCUUCAGAUGUCAUUGUUCCUUGUUUACAUCUUGUUUCCUUUUCCUACAGGAGAGUUGGAGGUUUAACUUUUCCUUUCAACCAAAAGUAGCUGCAAAUGAAUAAAAACUUGGGGUUUAUGAGUAUUAUGAAAGCAGCAAUCACGGGAUUAUUUAAGAGGCUUUCAGCUAUAUGUGGGACACAUACAGGUGGUAGAAUCACUGGAGCAGAGAAUGGUAUCCCUAUUGUGAGGUAAUAUUUUAGUGUAAUAAUACAAAUUUUCACUGCAUUUUCUUAGCCAUUUCUUAUUUCAAAAAACACAGUCUUAAUUGUUUUCUCAUGUUCAUUUUUACUAGUACAACUACAGAAUUAUGCACUGUAAAUAAAAGGGAAUUUAGGAGAGUUUUCUUUUCAAAAUGUUCAGAAAUAGAACAGUCUGAAGGGUAGCAGAGAAUUAGCAAGACCUGCACUCCUCAAUAGAAUAAUACUUUGCAGUUCUAGUAUGCCAAAUGUCUACUUAACAUAUGUUUAGUUCAUUCUUACCUCAGUAGUCACAUCACAGACCAGGAAGUACAAAGAGGGGAUUUGAUUGAUAGACUAAUUGAUUUAACAAAUGUUAGGUAGAAAUUGUUGCCUGGGUCUGAUUUCCUAAACCCAAUAUUUUGUUUCAGUUACAAGAUCAAAGGAAAAUGCCAUACAUGCUGAUCAAUCUUCAGAUUCAGCCAACUCUGUUUGUAGAAGAUUGUAUCCAUGUAGAGCAUUAGUGCAGUACAGUCUAUGCUCCAUAUUCCCCGGUCAUACAGUGUGGCUCUGUCUCCUUCUACUGGUUUACAUUUGUUAUAGAUUUGCUCCUACAGGCUCUGGACUACUACAGAUGUACACUUUUGUGCAGUUAACUGGAGCUCCUACACUGAGUGCCAAGCCUUGGAAUUUUUUGAACCAAUUCACUCAGGAGAUUAUUAGUGUAAUUUAAUGAAUCUGCAAUCCUAUGUGUGGGCAGACCAGCAAGUUACCAGAAGAGAGUGUAGCAGGAGUAAAGUGAAGCACAAACAUCCAUCUGCUUGCCAAUAUUGCCUCACGUGCACUUGUUCGUUAGUGGAAGAAGGGGCAUGAUGUUGGAGGAAGGGAAUGCAAACAUCAGGAAGGGGAAAACACUGCCGGCAAUGAAGAUGCCACAGACCCGUGCCACACACGCUUCUGCAAGGCAGGAGUGUCUGCCCCUCACAUCUGCUGAACAGGCCACAAAGUCCUGCCUGGUUGAGCUGUGCCAGAAAGAAACAAGGAGGGUUUCUAUCAUCUCUGCAGGAAGACUGAUGACCUAAAAAUAAAAGGUUUAGCAUCUGAGGCAACUGAACUGGUUUCAUUAGCUGCAUCUACCUGAAUUUUGCCAGUGGUGGGUUUUACUGUAAGUAGACACUCCAAAAACAGCGGGGACUUAGAGAGUUGACUAGGAAUUUACUUGAAGGAAAGAGUAAUUUCAGCUGCAAAGCUGUAAGUCAGUCUGUUAGUGAGCAACUGAUACAAUGUAGUCUGGUAAAGUCUGAGCUACUAUUUCUGAUCCACCGUCACAUGAAAAGGUCCCAUCAUGUCUCAGUUGCUGUUCUGUGGCCUUUAUUGCUCUUCUUGCAAACCACACAUUCUCUGGCUUCAGAGAAUGUUUUCAAUGUUUCAUAACCUUAAAAUCACAAGCAACCUAGGAGAGCUUGCCUGUGCUUAUUUAUGCUGCUGAUGGACUUUUCAUUCUGAUAAAAAAUAUUCAGCUUCACUGCCAUGCUUAAGAACCGUAUAAUCAUACCAUUGUUUAGAAAAGAAUCCUUAGGAAAGAUCAUCAAGUUAACCCAGCACUGCCAAGCCCAUCACUAAAGCAUGUCUCUAAGUGCCACAUCUACAUGGUCCUUUUAAAUACUGCUAGGGAUGGUGACUUCACCACUUCCCUAGGCAGCCUUUUCCAAAGCUUGAUUACCGUGUCUUCACUAUAGUGAAGAAAAUUUUCCAAAUAUCCAAUCUGAACCUUCCCUGGUGCAAGUUGAGGCCACUUCCUCGUCCUGUUGCUUGUAACCUAGAAGAGGCCAACCCACAUGUGGCUACAACUCCUUUCAGAGCAGUAAGAUCUCCCUUGUGCCUUCUUUUCUCCAGGCUAAACAACCCCAGAUCCUUCAGCUGCUCCUUGUAGGACUUGGGGUCUUCUACUCAGGACUGAGGCAAACAAGGCAAUAAGUACCUCAGCCUUUACCUUCAUCCUUUGUCACUGUUUCCUCUGGCAUCCAAUAAAAGAUGGAUAUUCUCCUUAGCCCUCCAUUUGUUGCUAAUGUAUUUAAGAAGGAGUUCUUUUUUAUUGUGUGGCAGUAGACAGGUUAAGUUCUGUCUGGGCUUUGGCCCUUCUAAUUUUCUCUCUCCAUAAAACUUCAUGACAUUUUUGUCCUCCUGAGUUGCCUGCCCCUUUUUCCAGAAGUCAUAAACUCUUUUUUUCCAAAGUUCCAGCCAACACUCUGUUCAGCUGCACACUUCAGAACCCUUCUCAACUGUUUCCUCUCUGCUGUAUUUCUAGUAAUUUGAAGUCCCCCACAAGAACAAGGACUAGGAAUUGUGAAAUUCCUAACUGCUUAUAGUGUCUUUCGUCUGCCUCUUCACCCUGGAUGGAUGAUCUCUAACAGAUUCCCACCAGGGUAUCUGACUUUUUGGACUGACCCCCCGAUUUUUACCCAUAAAGGCUCAACCCUUCUGUCACCGUCAUUAAACUCUAGACAAUCAAAACACUCCUUAACAUGCAAGGCUACCCCAGAAGGAAGUCAGGGUUCCAAGCCAAGGAAGCUAAGACUGUUAGCCUUGGGUGGCCUCUUGCACAUUGACAAGAGUGGAAAGAGCCCUUGUUCUAGAAAGGAAGCCCCAAUCCGUACAUUCUGCACAGGCUGUUUUUACUGCCAAGCAUAACAGAAGAGGGAACUUACAGGUGCCUUCAUAUGGUUCUGCACCUUAGCUCCCUCUGCACAUCCUCAGACAUGGAGAUGGUGACAGAAGAUUUAACUAAGAUUGCAGAGGCAGGGGAGUACAGACAGGAGAGGGGGAGAUCUCUUUGAAAGAAAGAAAUGUACUCUUUGAAGAUAAAUCUGUCCCAGAGGCUGUAGUUGUACUAAGCUAAACAGCAAUGGGCUCAUUCUUUGACUAAGAGACUGAUAAAAUGUGGGACCAUACUCUUAAAUUGAACUUGUCUCCAAAGCAGGGCUGCCACACUCAUAUUGCCUCGUUCUCGUGCUACAGUCCUGAAUUACGUCAGCAAAGUAUUGGACCAGUUGGCCCAGAUCAACCAUUUAAGAAUGUAACACUGAAGAUGGAAAGAGAUGCCCUGCUGUGAUCACCUUUCUUGCAGGAUGCUGCAAAACUUCUGUGACAAUUGACUUAUUGGUUGCUGGGGAGGAGACAGACAGAAUGUGGGGCAGCUGUUCACUGCCCUUGAGAUCCUGGAUACUCUUGCAGCCAUCAGGAAACACUAGUCCACUUCCAGUGUUCUCUGUGGGACUAUGUUGUGCAACUCCCAGAGGCAUUCUGUGCUGUGAGAAACAAGUCCUCCCAAAAAGCCAGCAAGUAAUAGAAAUGUUUCACAGCCAAGGCUAGAACUGGUCACCAUCACCAAGUCGCUGAAUAGUUAUGGCCCAGAUCCACAGGAAUCCCAUCUGGUCAUUCCUCUGGGCUGAACCUGCACUGCAGUCCCACAGCUGUGCUUCGCAAUGCACUCUAAGUGAUACAGCUCUUGGCUCCUGCCUGAGUCAACUUUUAAAUCAUAUACAUACAUGCAGUUAAAGCACAGUAUCAUAGAUAGUUCACCCUAGAACAAGGUCUCCUUGGGGUAUGCAUCAGGUCUCUCCAUCCUUUUGCAUCACCCACCAAGU
Oenanthe melanoleuca is the source of this 5764-nucleotide long non-coding RNA. RefSeq lists it as uncharacterized. The transcript has 3 exons. NCBI's taxonomy places the organism in Eukaryota, Metazoa, Chordata, Aves, Passeriformes, Muscicapidae. The record is from RefSeq and is a predicted model, not a curated record.